This 667-nucleotide ribosomal RNA is filed under the name Saprolegnia sp. UNCW177. RNAcentral describes it as "eukaryotic LSU rRNA". It matches the Rfam family "Eukaryotic large subunit ribosomal RNA", at positions 65 to 634 of the family's 3401-position model. The record is from RNAcentral. Lineage: Eukaryota; Oomycota; Saprolegniomycetes; Saprolegniales; Saprolegniaceae.
CUAACAAGGAUUCCCCUAGUAACGGCGAGUGAAGCGGGAAGAGCUCAAGCUUAAAAUCUCCAUACUUGUAUGGCGAAUUGUAGUCUAUUGAGGCUGUUGUCAGCAUCGCGAUCGGGGACAAGUCCCUUGGAAAAGGGCAGCAUGGAGGGUGAUACUCCCGUCUCUGCUCCGAUUUGCGAUGUGUACGAUACGCUUUCUUUGAGUCGAGUUGUUUGGGAAUACAGCUCAAAGUAGGUGGUAAAUUCCAUCUAAAGCUAAAUAUUGGUGCGAGACCGAUAGCGAACAAGUCCGUGAGGGAAAGAUGAAAAGAACUUUGAAAAGAGAGUUAAAGAGUACCUGAAACUGCUGAAAGGGAACCGUAUCGUUUCCAGUGUUGUAUCCCAUGCAUAUUUCAUUCGCGGAGCAAUUUGCGGGUGCCCUGUGCAUGGGUGUGACGUCAGGGUCAGUUUGUAUGCUGCGGGAGAUGGUCAGUGAGGAGGUGCGUCACUUCGGUGAAAGUUAUAUCUCGCUGUCUAGUAGCCGCGGUUGAGACUGAGGUGCCUACAACAUGCUUUGGGGUUCCGUGUUGUCUCGUGUUAGUGACUGUUUGGAUAGCUUGCUAUGUCUGUGGUUUACUAGUGCGAUCGAUGAUGCGGACAACCUCUUGCUGUUCGGGACCCUGGCGAAA